RNAcentral lists this transfer RNA (24 nucleotides) under Pelusios rhodesianus. Its description in RNAcentral is "partial transfer RNA-Leu". The record is from RNAcentral. Lineage: Eukaryota; Metazoa; Chordata; Testudines; Pelomedusidae.
ACUUUCAAAGGACAGAAGUAAUCC